AAAAAGAAAAGCAAGUGGUCAGGAUGAUUAUUGGGCCUAAAGCAUCCGUAGCCUGUUCUGUAAGUUUUCGGUUAAAUCUAUGCGCUCAACGUAUAGGCUGCCGAAAAUACUGCAGAACUAGGGAGUGGGAGAGGUAGACGGUACUCGGUAGGAAGGGGUAAAAUCCUUUGAUCUAUUGAUGACCACCUGUGGCGAAGGCGGUCUACCAGAACACGUUCGACGGUGAGGGAUGAAAGCUGGGGGAGCAAACCGG
This 253-nucleotide ribosomal RNA is filed under the name uncultured archaeon. RNAcentral's name for it is "partial 16S ribosomal RNA". It matches the Rfam family "Archaeal small subunit ribosomal RNA", at positions 474 to 727 of the family's 1478-position model. The record is from RNAcentral.